CACGUAGGGUGCGAGCGUUGUCCGGAAUUAUUGGGCGUAAAGAGCUCGUAGGCGGUGUGUCGCGUCGGCCGUGAAAACCUGCAGCUUAACUGUGGGCUUGCGGUCGAUACGGGCAUCACUGGAGUUCGGCAGGGGAGACUGGAAUUCCUGGUGUAGCGGUGAAAUGCGCAGAUAUCAGGAGGAACACCGGUGGCGAAAGCGGCUUCCUGGUCCAGCACCGACGUUCAGGCACGAAAGCGUGGGGAGCAAACAGG
This 254-nucleotide ribosomal RNA is filed under the name uncultured bacterium. RNAcentral's name for it is "partial 16S ribosomal RNA". It matches the Rfam family "Bacterial small subunit ribosomal RNA", at positions 524 to 776 of the family's 1533-position model. The record is from RNAcentral.